RNAcentral lists this ribosomal RNA (253 nucleotides) under uncultured bacterium. RNAcentral describes it as "partial 16S ribosomal RNA". It matches the Rfam family "Bacterial small subunit ribosomal RNA", at positions 524 to 776 of the family's 1533-position model. The record is from RNAcentral.
CACGUAGGGACCAAGCGUUGUCCGGAUUUAUUGGGCGUAAAGAGCUCGUAGGCGGUCGUGUAAGUCGGGUGUGAAAUCUCCGGGCUCAACUCGGAGGGGCCACCCGAUACUGCUCGACUCGAGUCCGGUAGGGGAGUGGGGAAUUCCUGGUGUAGCGGUGAAAUGCGCAGAUAUCAGGAGGAACACCGGUGGCGAAGGCGGGUCUCUGGGCCGAUACUGACGCUGAGGAGCGAAAGCGUGGGGAGCGAACAGG